Molecule: ribosomal RNA, 319 nt
Filed under: uncultured Tomentella
Lineage: Eukaryota; Fungi; Basidiomycota; Agaricomycetes; Thelephorales; Thelephoraceae
Description: eukaryotic LSU rRNA
Source: RNAcentral
AACGCACCUUGCGCCCUUUGGCAUUCCGAAGGGCAUGCCUGUUUGAGUAUCAUGAACACCUCAACUCUCAUGGUCUGCCAUGAUGAGCUUGGACUUUGGGGGACUUGCUGGCCCAGUGUCAGCUCCUCUCAAAAGGAUCAGCUUGCCAGUGGUUUGGUGGCAUCACAGGUGUGAUAACUAUCUACGCGUGUGGUUUCCUGCCAUGACGACCUUCAGCGAUGGAGGUUCACUGGAGCUCACAGCGUGUCUCCUCUCUCCAAGAGAGGACACUUUUUGAACGUUUGAUCUCAAAUCAGGUAGGACUACCCGCUGAACUUAA